Hevea brasiliensis (rubber tree) is the source of this 1520-nucleotide RNA transcript. RefSeq lists it as uncharacterized. NCBI's taxonomy places the organism in Eukaryota, Viridiplantae, Streptophyta, Magnoliopsida, Malpighiales, Euphorbiaceae. The record is from RefSeq and is a predicted model, not a curated record. The transcript has 6 exons.
GUCAGUCCAAAACAAAGAGAGAGUCAUAAUAAGGCCGCACAACCAAGAAACUUGAAAAAAAUAAAGAAAAGAUUUAAUAAGGAAUCGAGAAAACAAUUGGGAAUUGAGGAAAAAUGCUGUUGGUAAGCCAAGGUCCGGGAGGAGCUCUGUCAGCCAGAAGAUGUACUCGCAUAUCCCCUCUUCAAUUCGCCCACAAAAAUCCACCUCUUUUCUCUAACAUCACUGGACCAAAAUUCAUAUCCAAGAGACCACCCUUUUAUCCCAAUCUCGCUAAGGUUGAUGGAGGUGUAGAUUCUACCUCUGCAACCAAGCAACCUCUUUCUAACAACAAUUCAGCUCCUCCUCCUCCCCCUUUUAGCAGGGACGACCCUGUUUUCGUGGGUCCAGAUAAUGUUCCUUUGGAAGGCGUCAUCCAGUUCGAGAAGCCCACCUCUUCUUCACGUCUGGACAAAUGGGGUCGAGUGGCUUUAUUUUCUGGUGGAGAUGUAUUGGCUUUGCUUUUGUUCUCUGCAAUUGGGAGAUUUAGCCAUGGCUUCUUUGUUUUUGACUUUGAGACGCUGCGCACUGCUGACCCUUUUAUUGCUGGUUGGUUUUUGGGCGCUUACUUCCUUGGGGGUUAUGGAGAAGAUGGCCGUGGAAUGAAUGGUGUUUCUAAAGCAGUUAUUGCUGCCCUUAAAUCAUGGGCUCUGGGGAUUCCACUGGGAUUAGUCAUAAGGGCAGUAACAUCAGGACACAUUCCGCCGUAUACUUUUAUCUUAGUAACAAUGGGAAGCACUGCUGUUUUACUUAUUGGAUGGAGAGCACUAUUAUCGACCAUUCUUCCUAAUAAUGAGAGUAAGAAGGAUGAUGUAUACCGGAGUGGUAGUCCCUUUGAACUAUUUGAGUUGCUCACAUCAUUAGUACGGAGGUGGUGAUUAUGAUAGCUUGCGUGAUGUUAUUUAUUUUCUCUCAAGGCAUCAACUUUUUCUGUUUUUUGACUUCAUACUCUUUGUAGUUACCAGCUACGAAUUUAACAGGUUGUGUCGUGUAAUGUCGCAUAUCGUCUCUGCCUUCUAGGGCCAUGUAUGGGAAACAAAAGUGUGCAUGAGAAAUUGGGUGAUGUAUAUUUAGCAUGUAUGAACUACCCCCUUAGGGUAAAAAAAUGGAUAUUUUAUUCUGAUUCUGCUGCUGAUGCCGGAACAGAUGUCUGGAAUGUUUGUCUGAUUCGUCUAUUGUCUAAAAUGAUGCUGAUGCAUAGGGGGCACGUACCUUGAUACCUCAGUUUUGCUUUUUGCAGUUCACCUGCAGGGCAAUUCUGGUUGGCAAAAGAGACUGAACUUUGUAUCUAUUGGUUGUCUUUCCAAGGGCAUUGAGAGUUGAGACCAAAAGAUCUUAUACUAUGUUCAAAUUUACCCUAUUAACUAAGGAUUCGCAUUCUACUGUUUUUUUCUCCUGCUGUUGCUUUCUUUUUUUUUUAAAGAACAAAAAAAGGGAGUGUGGAAGGAAUCUCAGUUUAUGUGGUAAAAGCUGGUUCUAUGCAA